Molecule: ribosomal RNA, 526 nt
Filed under: Escherichia coli
Lineage: Bacteria; Pseudomonadati; Pseudomonadota; Gammaproteobacteria; Enterobacterales; Enterobacteriaceae
Description: partial 23S ribosomal RNA
Rfam family: Bacterial large subunit ribosomal RNA
Source: RNAcentral
GAUCCGGUGGUUCUGAAUGGAAGGGCCAUCGCUCAACGGAUAAAAGGUACUCCGGGGAUAACAGGCUGAUACCGCCCAAGAGUUCAUAUCGACGGCGGUGUUUGGCACCUCGAUGUCGGCUCAUCACAUCCUGGAGCUGAAGUAGGUCCCAAGGGUAUGGCUGUUCGCCAUUUAAAGUGGUACGCGAGCUGGGUUUAGAACGUCGUGAGACAGUUCGGUCCCUAUCUGCCGUGGGCGCUGGAGAACUGAGGGGGGCUGCUCCUAGUACGAGAGGACCGGAGUGGACGCAUCACUGGUGUUCGGGUUGUCAUGCCAAUGGCACUGCCCGGUAGCUAAAUGCGGAAGAGAUAAGUGCUGAAAGCAUCUAAGCACGAAACUUGCCCCGAGAUGAGUUCUCCCUGACUCCUUGAGAGUCCUGAAGGAACGUUGAAGACGACGACGUUGAUAGGCCGGGUGUGUAAGCGCAGCGAUGCGUUGAGCUAACCGGUACUAAUGAACCGUGAGGCUUAACCUUACAACGCCGAAG